UAUAUCCUGAUUUGACCUUCCCGUGAAGAGGCGGGAAUUAUGACAAUAAGACGAGAAGACCCUAUGGAGCUUUAAUUAACCGACCCAAAGAGAUCUUGAUAAUCAACCGACAGGGAUAACAUACCUCUACCAUGGGCCGACAAUUUAGGUUGGGGUGACCUCGGAGAAUAAAACAACCUCCGAGUGAUUUAAAUCUAGACUAACUAGUCGAAAGUACUACAUCACUUAUUGAUCCAAAAACUUGAUCAACGGAACAAGUUACCCUAGGGAUAACAGCGCAAUCCUAUUUUAGAGUCCAUAUCGAAAAYUWGGAYWUGCGCUGUUAUCCCUAGGGUAACUUGUUSCGUUGAUCAAGUUUUUGGAUCAAUAAGUGAUGUAGUACUUUCGACUAGUUAGUCUAGAUUUAAAUCACUCGGAGGUUGUUUUAUUCUCCGAGGUCACCCCAACCUAAAUUGUCGGCCCAUGGUAGAGGUAUGUUAUCCCUGUCGGUUGAUUAUCAAGAUCUCUUUGGGUCGGUUAAUUAAAGCUCCAUAGGGUCUUCUCGUCUUAUUGUCAUAUUCCCGCCUCUUCACGGGAAGGUCAAUUUCACGGAUAUGGAAGUAAGAGACAGUAAAGCCCUCGAUUGCGCUGUUAUCCCUAGGGUAACUUGUUCCGUUGAUCAAGUUUUUGGAUCAAUAAGUGAUGUAGUACUUUCGACUAGUUAGUCUAGAUUUAAAUCACUCGGAGGUUGUUUUAUUCUCCGAGGUCACCCCACCUAAAUUGUCGGCCCAUGGUAGAGGUAUGUUAUCCCUGUCGGUUGAUUAUCAAGAUCUCUUUGGGUCGGUUAAUUAAAGCUCCAUAGGGUCUUCUCGUCUUAUUGUCAUAUUCCCGCCUCUUCACGGGAAGGUCAAUUUCACGGAUUGGAAGUAAGAGACAGUAAAGCCCUCGA
This 928-nucleotide ribosomal RNA is filed under the name Panthera onca (jaguar). RNAcentral's name for it is "partial 16S ribosomal RNA". The record is from RNAcentral. Lineage: Eukaryota; Metazoa; Chordata; Mammalia; Carnivora; Felidae.